GAUGAAGAACGCAGCGAAAUGCGAUAAGUAAUGUGAAUUGCAGAAUUCAGUGAAUCAUCGAAUCUUUGAACGCACAUUGCGCCCGCCAGCAUUCUGGCGGGCAUGCCUGUUCGAGCGUCAUUUCAACCCUCGAGCCCCCCCGGGGGCCUCGGUGUUGGGGGACGGCACCCAGCCGCCCCCGAAAUGCAGUGGCGACCCCGCCGCAGCCUCCCCUGCGUAGUAGCACACACCUCGCACCGGAGCGCGGAGGCGGUCACGCCGUAAAACGCCCAACUUUCUUAGAGUUGACCUCGGAUCAGGUAGGAAUACCCGCUGAACUUAAGCAUAUCAAUAAGCGGAGGA
This 342-nucleotide unclassified non-coding RNA is filed under the name soil metagenome. RNAcentral's name for it is "partial contains 5.8S ribosomal RNA, internal transcribed spacer 2, and large subunit ribosomal RNA". The stretch from base 1 to 120 matches the Rfam family "5.8S ribosomal RNA", at positions 35 to 154 of the family's 154-position model. The record is from RNAcentral.